GGUACCUUUCUUGGCUGAUCCCUUUCGCUUUAUGGCGUGCUCGUUUGGGUUGGGCGUCGGCUAAGAGUGCUCGGAGCGUCGAUUAACUCCAGUCUCCAAUCAGGUAAUCCCUAAGCUUAGAUGGUUUGGAGCUGCGAGGGACUCGGAGAUGGCCACACUACUAUUUCUGUUUCUUUUAACUGCAAUAAGUAGCCGACUUAUUUCUUUAUAAAUUUUAUCUUAUUAAUAUUAUUAUUUGGUUUUGGGGUGUAAUAAGGCCAUUUUAAUUAUUUUUUAGGGAUUAUUUUAUCUUUUACCCUAUAUUUUUCUAAUAACAAUAUGAGUUAGACCUA
Molecule: long non-coding RNA, 332 nt
Organism: Gossypium arboreum
Lineage: Eukaryota; Viridiplantae; Streptophyta; Magnoliopsida; Malvales; Malvaceae
Exons: 2
Source: RefSeq, a predicted model, not a curated record